GUAGGUGAACCUGCGGAAGGAUCAUUACCAAAUCCAAAUCCUUCAACCCCUUGUGAACUAUGAUUAAUAAUUAUUGUUUUGUCUUUGGGGAGUUUUAAAGUGUUGAAAAUUUGUUAUGAUUUUUGAUACUACUACUCCCCAAAAGAGUUAUUAUUCCUCCCUUUUUUUUUAAAAAAAGUGGAGGGAAAACACUCACAUUGUUAAACUACUUUUUUAUAAACUUUUAUUUUUGGAAUGCUUUUAUUUAUACUAAUAAAAGACAACUUUUAACGGUGGAUCUCUUGGCUCGU
This 290-nucleotide unclassified non-coding RNA is filed under the name rhizosphere metagenome. RNAcentral describes it as "partial ribosomal RNA internal transcribed spacer region". The record is from RNAcentral.